This is a non-coding RNA of Chiloscyllium plagiosum (whitespotted bambooshark), 559 nucleotides long. NCBI's taxonomy places the organism in Eukaryota, Metazoa, Chordata, Chondrichthyes, Orectolobiformes, Hemiscylliidae. The record is from RefSeq and is a predicted model, not a curated record.
GGCAAUCGGAUGGCAAUUAGCCUCAUUAGUGAGUCACUUGAGAUAAAUUAUUCAUCAGUCCACAGGGCAGGUGAGAGAAGGACCACAAGUCAGUCAGUAUCAUUUCGAUGACCUGAUGAGAAAAGGACUCUAACAUACAGUUCGUCUCAAAGCUCGAUUAGUUCAAGCUUAAUGAAAUGAUGACUCUCUUUCAUGCUUUAGUAACCACUUCAGCUGAUUUCAAACAUACCACCAAUCGAACAGAACCUCUCAAAAUCAGCAGAAUAAUCUGCACUUUCUUUUUAACAGCAUGUUAAAAUUCAAAGCAGUUGGAAACCUGCCAGAGCAACACAUUAGAUUAGAAUCUGACAAGUGCACAAAAGCUAGCAAACAAGACAAUUUCAUUAAUAGAUUCAUUGUGCACACUCUUACAAAGUAAAUAUUUUCAGCUGUGAAACUUCUGUAAAUAAAAUUCAUCGCUUCGCUGUUUAUGUGGGUUGCAAUGUUUAGAACACAUAGUACAAGCAGUUACCUUCCAUAUCACAUUUUACAUAACUGAUAUGAUAAAUGUUGUUUGACU